This 279-nucleotide ribosomal RNA is filed under the name uncultured bacterium. RNAcentral describes it as "partial 16S ribosomal RNA". It matches the Rfam family "Bacterial small subunit ribosomal RNA", at positions 506 to 784 of the family's 1533-position model. The record is from RNAcentral.
UGCCAGCCGCCGCGGUAAUACGGAGGGUGCAAGCGUUGUUCGGAAUUAUUGGGCGUAAAGCGGGAGCAGGCGGCCAGGUAAGUCGGAUGUGAAAUCCCUGGGCUCAACCCAGGAACUGCAUUCGAAACUACCUGACUAGAGUCUCGGAGAGGGUGGCGGAAUUCCCGGUGUAGAGGUGAAAUUCGUAGAUAUCGGGAGGAACACCAGUGGCGAAGGCGGCCACCUGGACGAUGACUGACGCUCAGUCCCGAAAGCGUGGGGAGCAAACAGGAUUAGAUA